This 174-nucleotide small nuclear RNA is filed under the name Mesocricetus auratus (golden hamster). RNAcentral's name for it is "U2 spliceosomal RNA". It matches the Rfam family "U2 spliceosomal RNA". From Rfam's summary of the family: U2 is a small nuclear RNA (snRNA) component of the spliceosome (involved in pre-mRNA splicing). The record is from Rfam by way of RNAcentral. Lineage: Eukaryota; Metazoa; Chordata; Mammalia; Rodentia; Cricetidae.
ACCGCUUCUCAGCCUUUUAGCUAAUAUCAAGGGUAGUAUCUGCUCUUAUCAGUUUAAAAAUGUGGCAAAAAUUAGUCCUCAGAAAUUUACUUUAUAGGCAAUGUUUUUUGCAGAUGAUGCAAAACCAUCUUUGAAAUUCUCUUUUAUUACAUGCACUUAUGUGAGGUAGGAUGC